Molecule: non-coding RNA, 175 nt
Organism: Chelonoidis abingdonii (Abingdon island giant tortoise)
Lineage: Eukaryota; Metazoa; Chordata; Testudines; Testudinidae
Source: RefSeq, a predicted model, not a curated record
UCUCCAUCCUUAGAGCAAGUAUAUACUAAGGUAUGGCUACACUUACAUUUGUACAGCGCGGGAUUACAGCUGUCUUCGUUACAAGCUGUGUAGGGAAAUGCGCAGUGUGGCCACUGGCAGCUACCAGCGCUGCAGUGUGGCCCCAUUUGCAGCAUUUGCAGCGCUGUUGGGAGUG